CGUAACAAGGUCUCCGUAGGUGAACCUGCGGNNNNAUCAUUACACAAAUAUGAAGGCGGGCUGGAACCUCUCGGGGUUACAGCCUUGCUGAAUUAUUCACCCUUGUCUUUUGCGUACUUCUUGUUUCCUUGGUGGGUUCGCCCACCACUAGGACAAACAUAAACCUUUUGUAAUUGCAAUCAGCGUCAGUAACAAAUUAAUAAUUACAACUUUCAACAACGGAUCUCUUGGUUCUGGCAUCGAUGAAGAACGCAGCGAAAUGCGAUAAGUAGUGUGAAUUGCAGAAUUCAGUGAAUCAUCGAAUCUUUGAACGCACAUUGCGCCCUUUGGUAUUCCAAAGGGCAUGCCUGUUCGAGCGUCAUUUGUACCCUCAAGCUUUGCUUGGUGUUGGGCGUCUUGUCUCUAGCUUUGCUGGAGACUCGCCUUAAAGUAAUUGGCAGCCGGCCUACUGGUUUCGGAGCGCAGCACAAGUCGCACUCUCUAUCAGCAAAGGUCUAGCAUCCAUUAAGCCUUUUUUUCAACUUUUGACCUCGGAUCAGGUAGGGAUACCCGCUGAACUUAAGCAUAUCA
This 570-nucleotide ribosomal RNA is filed under the name uncultured fungus. RNAcentral describes it as "eukaryotic LSU rRNA". The stretch from base 208 to 361 matches the Rfam family "5.8S ribosomal RNA". The record is from RNAcentral. Lineage: Eukaryota; Fungi.